Molecule: non-coding RNA, 29 nt
Filed under: Mus musculus (house mouse)
Lineage: Eukaryota; Metazoa; Chordata; Mammalia; Rodentia; Muridae
Source: RNAcentral
UUAGCAUACAUCCAUUGCUGUGUCCAUGG